GUGGCUAGUAGUUGGGGAAGAACCAUCCACGGCGCGCCCACCCGGCCGAUUCUCGCCGGCCGUCGUCAGGUUUGAUGGUCAAGAUCUCCAGGUGGCGCCCCCGCUGUCUUUCCAUGCCCAACACCCUGACGACCCCGUCCGGGUGGCCACGGUCGACGAGGUAGAUGCGAUUGACGCGAGCGCGGUACCAGGGGAACUCCGCCCGCGAGAGCGCGAACGCGCGAUUCCGCCCCAGGAACAGACUGUUCCAUCCGAGGUCCACCACGCGCACCAGCCGCACCGUCCUAUCCCCGAGCCAAUCCACCCUGUGCACCUCCACCGCACGCGCGAACCCGCUGCCGAUCUUGAUGCCCCCGUCGUCCACGCCCGCCAUGUCGUCGUCCGAGUUGUACAUGACGUCGUCGUGCACCGAGACGAGGAGCAGCUGGCGGUCACACUCCACCAGGUGCGUCUCGACGACGCGCCUCCCUUCGCCAGGGAGCUUGUCGUUGUCCGAGACGACGGCGUCGCCGUUCGCGUCGACGUGCUCGAGUGGGAUGACCGCGGGCGCGUCCCCGUCGACCUCGCAGAUGCAGAUCGAGGACUUGAAGGCCACAUAGAACCGCCCCCUGUAGUGCUCGACAGCGGCGUAGCCGGUCACGCUGAAAUCGAGCCGCGUCCACGCCCCAGUGACGGAGCUGUAGUACGCGAGGCAGGUCGUCGGGAACCCGACGGCCACCGCGGCCCACUCGGUGGCCGUGGCGGGGUCGCCCGACAGCACGAUGGUGGUCAAGUCGAGCCACUUCUUGAAGAAGCCGAUGGGCGGGAGGCGGACGCGCCUGCCUGUCAAGGGGUUGAGGAGGAGGAUGACCUUGGGGCUGAUCCUCGGGUCCGAGAGCGCGAGGUAGCCGUGGGACGAGGAGAGGUACUCCAGCCCCGAUGGCACGUUCGCGGCGAAGGGCAGGAGGGCGACGCUGGGGGCGAGCCAGAAUGACGAAAUUUCGCUGGCGCCCUGGCCGGAGCGGUCGGUGCGGGAGCCGACGAGCCAAGGGCGCGGGCGCCACGCGGCGGCGGCGGCGCCCCAGUCCGCGCAGACGGCGCGGAAACGGACGCGGUGAGCGUCGGCAGGGAGGAGGGCGAAUAUGCUGAGCAGCAGGUCCGCCGGCAGAGAGGACCACCCCGUGCCGCCCCUGCCGCCGCACGCCAUGCCCGGCUGAGGCGCCGAGGAGAGGGAGAGGUUAUGUCCAACUCCAACCUGUCUGCGCUCGGUGUCUUUCACGCGGCUGGCUCUGGCUUGCCUGCCCAAGCAAAGAAGGGGCAAGGGGGCUCAAACUGAAGCAUAGCGGUGAAAAAUGCAGCGUUCGCUGAAGUCAACAUGCGCGGCUGGUGCGGAGCGGAGCCGAUUUUUUUUUAUUUUAGUCCUUUUCUUAAAAAAAAUCACAUUUAGAUUAUAUAUUAUUUAAUGUCGUUUUUACCAUUUAGGCUGGCUCCAACAGCCGACAGGUAAAAUGGGCAGGCA
RNAcentral lists this unclassified non-coding RNA (1498 nucleotides) under Zea mays. RNAcentral describes it as "misc RNA Zm00001eb043370". The record is from RNAcentral. Lineage: Eukaryota; Viridiplantae; Streptophyta; Magnoliopsida; Poales; Poaceae.